AAGUCUGCGAAGGUGUAUCGAGAGGUAUGCUGGAGAUAUCAGAAGUGCGAAUGCUGACGUAAGUAACGAUAAAGGGGGUGAAAAGCCUCCUCGCCGGAAGACCAAGGGUUCCUGUCCAACGUUAAUCGGGGCAGGGUGAGUCGACCCCUAAGGCGAGGCCGAAAGGCGUAGUCGAUGGGAAGCAGGUUAAUAUUCCUGCACGACUUGUAAUUGCGAUGGGGGGACGGAGAAGGCUAGGUGGGCCAGGCGACGGUUGUCCUGGUGAAAGUGCGUAGGUGGUGUUUCUAGGCAAAUCCGGAGACACAACACUGAGACACGAGACGAACACACUACGGUGUGGAAGCCAUUGAUGCCCUGCUUCCAGGAAAAGCCUCUAAGCUUCAGAUUACAAGUCAUCGUACCCCAAACCGACACAGGUGGUCGGGUAGAGAAUACCAAGGCGCUUGAGAGAACUCGGGUGAAGGAACUAGGCAAAAUAGAACCGUAACUUCGGGAGAAGGUUCGCUCUUGAUGGUGAAGUCCCUUGCGGAUGGAGCUGUCGGGAGUCGCAGUGACCAGAUGGCUGGGACUGUUUAUCAAAAACACAGCACUCUGCAAACACGAAAGUGGACGUAUAGGGUGUGACACCUGCCCGGUGCCGGAAGGUUAAUUGAUGGGGUUAGCGCAAGCGAAGCUCUUGAUCGAAGCCCCGGUAAACGGCGGCCGUAACUAUAACGGUCCUAAGGUAGCGAAAUUCCUUGUCGGGUAAGUUCCGACCUGCACGAAUGGUGUAACCAUGGCCAUGCUGUCUCCACCCGAGACUCAGUGAAAUCGAAUUCGCCGUGAAGAUGCGGUGUACCCGCGGCUAGACGGAAAGACCCCGUGAACCUUUACUACAGCUUGGCACUGAACAUUGAACCUACAUGUGUAGGAUAGGUGGGAGGCUUUGAAGGCGUGACGCCAGUUGCGCUGGAGCCGUCCUUGAAAUACCACCCUUGUAUGUUUGAUGUUCUAACGCAGGGCCCUGAAUCGGGCUCGCGGACAGUGCCUGGUGGGUAGUUUGACUGGGGCGGUCUCCUCCCAAAGAGUAACGGAGGAGCACGAAGGUUGGCUAAUCCUGGUCGGACAUCAGGAGGUUAGUGCAAUGGCAUAAGCCAGCUUAACUGCGAGACGGACAGGUCGAGCAGGUACGAAAGUAGGUCAUAGUGAUCCGGUGGUUCUGAAUGGAAGGGCCAUCGCUCAACGGAUAAAAGGUACUCCGGGGAUAACAGGCUGAUACCGCCCAAGAGUUCAUAUCGACGGCGGUGUUUGGCACCUCGAUGUCGGCUCAUCACAUCCUGGGGCUGAAGUCGGUCCCAAGGGUAUGGCUGUUCGCCAUUUAAAGUGGUACGCGAGCUGGGUUCAGAACGUCGUGAGACAGUUCGGUCCCUAUCUGCCGUGGGCGUUGGAUGAUUGAAGGGAGUUGCUCCUAGUACGAGAGGACCGGAGUGAACGAACCUCUGGUGUUCGGGUUGUCACGCCAGUGGCACUGCCCGGUAGCUAAGUUCGGAAUCGAUAACCGCUGAAAGCAUCUAAGCGGGAAGCGAGCCCUGAGAUGAGUCAUCCCUGACCCCUUGAGGGUCCUAAAGGGCCGUU
This 1614-nucleotide ribosomal RNA is filed under the name Aeromonas veronii. RNAcentral's name for it is "partial 23S ribosomal RNA". It matches the Rfam family "Bacterial large subunit ribosomal RNA", at positions 1244 to 2839 of the family's 2925-position model. Lineage: Bacteria; Pseudomonadati; Pseudomonadota; Gammaproteobacteria; Aeromonadales; Aeromonadaceae. The record is from RNAcentral.